ACUGACAGCCAUGGUUACCGCGGCUGCUGGCACGGAGUUAGCCGGUGCUUCUUCUGUGAGUGAUGUCCUUCCUGCCGGCUAUUAACCCGCAGGCCUUCUUCCUCACUGAAAGUGCUUUACAACCCGAAGGCCUUCUUCACACACGCGGCAUGGCUGGAUCAGGGUUGCCCCCAUUGUCCAAUAUUCCCCACUGCUGCCUCCCGUAGGAGUCUGGGCCGUGUCUCAGUCCCAGUGUGGCUGAUCAUCCUCUCAGACCAGCUACGGAUCGUCGCCUUGGUGAGCCGUUACCUCACCAACCAGCUAAUCCGACAUAGGCUCAUCCGAUAGCGCGAGGCCCGAAGGUCCCCCGCUUUCCCCCGUAGGGCGUAUGCGGUAUUAGCCUGGGUUUCCCCAGGUUAUCCCCCACUACCGGGCAGAUUCCUAUGCAUUACUCACCCGUCCGCCGCUCGCCACCAGGGAGCAAGCUCCCCGUGCUGCCGCUCGACUUGCAUGUGUUAGGCCUGCCGCCAGCGUUC
This 515-nucleotide ribosomal RNA is filed under the name uncultured bacterium. RNAcentral's name for it is "partial 16S ribosomal RNA". The record is from RNAcentral.